GCUGCAGAAAAGCUGCUCAGCAACAAAUCUUCAUGAAAGCAGGACUGAUCGUUAUGAGCAAGGAUGAAGUGUGGACAGAGAAUUAAGGAGGCACUAACUGAACUUGAGCCUGCUGAACAUACCUUCAACUUUGAAUUACCAUCCUAGAACUGAUCCAUCCACUCUAAGAGUAAUGAGUGCCACUUACUUCUGAGAAGAGAUGGGGUCCACCUAACGAAGAAGGGGAAGAGCAUCUUCAUGCACCCACUUGCCAACCUCAGUGAGGAAGGCUUUAAAGGAGAGCGAGGACCUAAGAACCUUAAC
Dermochelys coriacea (leatherback sea turtle) is the source of this 303-nucleotide long non-coding RNA. RefSeq lists it as uncharacterized. The transcript is spliced from 3 exons. The record is from RefSeq and is a predicted model, not a curated record. Lineage: Eukaryota; Metazoa; Chordata; Testudines; Dermochelyidae.